AACGAACGCUGGCGGCAUGCCUAACACAUGCAAGUCGAACGAGACCUUCGGGUCUAGUGGCGCACGGGUGCGUAACGCGUGGGAACCUGCCCUUAGGUUCGGAAUAACUCCCCGAAAGGGGUGCUAAUACCGGAUAAUGUCUUCGGACCAAAGAUUUAUCGCCUUUGGAUGGGCCCGCGUUGGAUUAGCUAGUUGGUAGGGUAAAAGCCUACCAAGGCGACGAUCCAUAGCUGGUAUGAGAGGAUGAUCAGCCACACUGGGACUGAGACACGGCCCAGACUCCUACGGGAGGCAGCAGUGGGGAAUAUUGGACAAUGGGCGAAAGCCUGAUCCAGCAAUGCCGCGUGAGUGAUGAAGGCCUUAGGGUUGUAAAGCUCUUUUACCCGGGAUGAUAAUGACAGUACCGGGAGAAUAAGCGCCGGCUAACUCCGUG
RNAcentral lists this ribosomal RNA (433 nucleotides) under uncultured bacterium. RNAcentral describes it as "partial 16S ribosomal RNA". It matches the Rfam family "Bacterial small subunit ribosomal RNA", at positions 29 to 507 of the family's 1533-position model. The record is from RNAcentral.